GUCUACGGCCAUACCACCCUGAACAUGCCCGAUCUCAUCAGAUCUCGGAAGCUAAGCAGGGUCGGGCCUGCUUAGUACUUGGAUGGGAGAAAAUAAUAUUCCUUUGUAUCUAUGUGCGAUGGAGG
Ribosomal RNA from Erinaceus europaeus (western European hedgehog), 125 nucleotides. The record is from Ensembl. NCBI's taxonomy places the organism in Eukaryota, Metazoa, Chordata, Mammalia, Eulipotyphla, Erinaceidae.